Molecule: ribosomal RNA, 486 nt
Filed under: uncultured bacterium
Lineage: Bacteria
Description: partial 16S ribosomal RNA
Rfam family: Bacterial small subunit ribosomal RNA
Source: RNAcentral
AUUGAACGCUGGCGGCAUGCCUUACACAUGCAAGUCGAACGGCAGCACGGGUGCUUGCACCUGGUGGCGAGUGGCGAACGGGUGAGUAAUACAUCGGAACAUGUCCUGUAGUGGGGGAUAGCCCGGCGAAAGCCGGAUUAAUACCGCAUACGAUCUACGGAUGAAAGCGGGGGACCUUCGGGCCUCGCGCUAUAGGGUUGGCCGAUGGCUGAUUAGCUAGUUGGUGGGGUAAAGGCCUACCAAGGCGACGAUCAGUAGCUGGUCUGAGAGGACGACCAGCCACACUGGGACUGAGACACGGCCCAGACUCCUACGGGAGGCAGCAGUGGGGAAUUUUGGACAAUGGGCGAAAGCCUGAUCCAGCAAUGCCGCGUGUGUGAAGAAGGCCUUCGGGUUGUAAAGCACUUUUGUCCGGAAAGAAAUCCUUGGCCCUAAUACGGUCGGGGGAUGACGGUACCGGAAGAAUAAGCACCGGCUAUCUACGUG